UCAGAUGAGUUUCACCGAUCAUCGAGAUGACUGCUAAACACUGCAUCCUGCGAGAUGUGACGCUAACUCUUCUCUUUUGUGUUGCUGUUUUAAUGCUUCUCUUUACUAGUUCGUUUUCUUGGGCAGCUAAUACCAACGGAUGUUCGUUCGGUCCGGCAAUGUGUAAUCGUCAUUGUUUGGGACUGUCCCGCUCCGGCGGGUCCUGUGAAUUAAAUAGUUCGAAUACACCCUUCGAGAUACGAUGUGUUUGCUUCGAUAAGAUAUGAUAUCUACUAAGACGCCAAUAUAUCGCAAUUCUUAUCAGUUGAUAUUUGCAUUUGAUCUUCAUUCAUGAGUAAAUGAUGCUGAAUCAAAUUCCCAUGAAGCAGCACCACAAUACCAAACUCCUAGAAAGGUUACUCGAGUUUCGGCAAUAUUAUGAAGUUUCUCUAGGAACAAAUAAGAUUUGAAGUUCACCUUUCAAUUUGACGUCUCACGCGACUGAAGGGAGACAACAAUGCUUCAUCGUUACAACGGAAAUGACCACUACUACGCAUUACAUCUCAGCUAAGGUAUAGUAACGUCAGCAAUCACCCGUCUUUUGCUUGGUGUAAGAAUAAAAAGGACAGAGAAAGGCAUAUAUAUAUAUAUAUAUGCGCCUUUCUCAAUCCUUUAUAUAUAUAUUAUUUAUGCAUUUAGCUUAGCUGGAAGAUGCGCAAACGCAGCGCUCCCCAUCGCUCUAUCUUUAUUCCUGAGCUGCUGAAUUAAUUUGCUCCCAACGAUCCGUUAUUCAGUAACCCGACAUUUUUCCAAAUCGCUAAAGAAAAGGGGUGUAGAACAAUAUAAACUAAGGCAAUGAUACGCAUAUAGUCAAGUAGAGAGGUACUGAAGAGUGUUUUAAUUGUUGAAUUAUUUAGUAGAACCAAUUUUCAGUUUCAGUGGUUUAGGUAAGUGAAGACAAUCAUGUGAAAACCGUUCACGUACAGAACUAUAUCUCAUAUAGAAUAUGAUUGGUCGUACAUUUUACCUAACAGAUGAAUUGUUCUCGAUUUUUCAGUGAUAAAAGCCUGCUUUUACCAGAACACAAUUAAAACAACAUAUUAGCAAUGUUUGACCUUAAAAAAACAUGUAAUUUUCUGUGGGAAAACUAGAAAAAAACUAAAAUGUAUCGCCCGUGUUUAUUUUUAAUUAAUGCUUCUUGUUCAGUUGAAUCCGCUGACAAUUCACACAACAGUUUUUGCUCAGAGCAGAUGAUUUUAUCCCGGAACCAAUACCUGGUGUGGAAUGGUGCUACAGUUGACACUGCAGCUCCUUCAUGCGGCGACCUUGACGACCUCCCACCGGGGCAUGCACUCGUAAUAGGGGAGCAAACUAAAUUACAAAGACGACUCUUUCAUCAUUUUUGCCCGUUGCCGCAUGAGACGCCAACCCCUAAUUCGCUCAAGGGAUUUAGGCCGUUUAGAAGACUACACAGUUUUUGCCGACACGUGCAACAUGCACGACGAACAUUACGGAGUUACCUUUCUUUGUGAUAGUUCUUUUCUGAUAGAUGACCUAUAGAUAUGGUAGUAAGUGAUGUUAGGUAUCUAAGAACUGUUGAGUAACUCUCGUAAAUAUCGUUUUCAGUUACUGACUUUUAAAGGUAUAGAUUGUAAAGGAUUUUUCAAUGAAUGAUAGAUACAAACAAUCCUUACUUAUUUACACUAUCUGAGAAUGUAUCUUUUCUAUAUGUGGUACAUAUGGUAAAGUUGGCUGGAGUUUCGUCCUCAAUGACUGUUAUUUAUCUGUUAAACGGCCUGUUCAAUUAAUUCCACCACAUAGGAAACACUACUCGUUAUCUAUUUGGUACAUUUCUGUACUUCAGCGCCUCGGUGCCUGGUGAUUACGUUGUCACUGCACUAUCACUUACGGCUUCAAAUCAGCUUCAUACUUUUAAUGUAGCUGUGAAAAAAACAGCAAUCCAAGUAAACUGUUGUAAAUAUG
RNAcentral lists this long non-coding RNA (1962 nucleotides) under Varroa destructor (honeybee mite). Its description in RNAcentral is "uncharacterized LOC111243946, transcript variant X1". Lineage: Eukaryota; Metazoa; Arthropoda; Arachnida; Mesostigmata; Varroidae. The record is from RNAcentral.